Molecule: long non-coding RNA, 1928 nt
Filed under: Sus scrofa (pig)
Lineage: Eukaryota; Metazoa; Chordata; Mammalia; Artiodactyla; Suidae
Description: lncRNA (ENSSSCG00070008084.1)
Source: RNAcentral
GCAUAUUGACAGAUAAUACAUAUUAAAAUAUGAUUGUGAUGUGCUUAGUGCUUUGUGUUCGCGGGUCCUAUAUGCCAGCCCGGACUGACAAUUGCCUGAGUAUAAACAUGGGACAGUUGAACAGUGACGCACGGUUUUUUUCAGGAAGCAUGUUUCAGGUGUUUUUUGUUUUUUAAAGAGUGAACAAUUGUAUUUUUGAUCCAGUGUUCCCUGACAUUCAGUUGUGGGAUCCCGGUGCUUUUGGACAGGAAAACUUGUGGCCAAGGCUCAUGGGUUGCUCUGCUGCCCCCAAGUGGUGUGGGAACCUGGGAGAAUCUCCCUAUCUCCAUGAACCACAGUGUCUUCAUCAGGAAGAUAAAGUCCUUCCAAUACUCGAAAUUCCUCUCCUGCUGAGUUUUUUGUUUUUUUUUUUCUUUCCCUGCAUGCCUGUGGGUCCGAGAUGCAUGUUGCAUGUGCCCUGGGAACUGCAGCCAAGUCUUGACUUUGGUCCCUUGUCUGUGUUUUUCCUGCAGGAGCCUGAACUGAGUCCACACACUGAACUCACAGACCUGCAGGAGGAGAUGGAAGAAAGAAAACCAGCAGGUUUUGAGGAUGAGAAGAACCCAAGUAAUAGCAGAGGAGGUGCUGUGCAGGAGAGAUUGCUGCAGUGGCAUCCAGGACUGUCAGUGGAAGUGGGGAAUGACAUGACACCACCUUUCGGACACCCAACUGGCAAGAGGCCACGCAGUCCAAGAAUUGGUCGCAGACUUGAAGAAACUCUUCCAGAACAAGAUACAUAAAUGGGCCACAAGAACAUAAAAAGAUAAUCAACUCAGUGUCAGUGAUCAGAGAAACAAAUUAAAACUACAGUGAGUUCCGAUUAUAUAUUCAUUACCAUGGUUAAAUUUAAAGAGAUUGAAAAUACCACAUGUGGUAAAGGUGUAAAGCCACCAGAUGUUUCUUACACUUGGGGGAAUGAGUAGUCAUUCAGGCACUUUGAAAAGCUGAAUGACAGUUGAGCACACACCCAUCAUGUGAGCAGCCUUUCCAUUCCUAGGUGUUUACAGAGUAUGUCCCCAUAACAACCUGCACAUGAAUAUCCAUAGUGAGUUUCUUCAAAAGAACUGAACUCUGGAAACUACAGGGACAUCCAUUAGUUGGUGAAUGUAUGAACUGACACAAAGUAUCGAUAUAAAGGAAUAGUGCUUAGCAAAAAAAUGUGCAAGCGCUGCUGUUGCUUGUAAGAUGGUGGAGAUUCUCUGAAUCAAGCUGCAUGGAGGCAGGCAGACAGGAAAGAGUCCAUGCGUAGUUCCAUUUAUAAGGGUGCUAAAGAUGCAAAUUCAUCUCUAAUGGCAGUGGUUGCCUGGGGCUGAGGGUUGAGGGAGUGAAGGAAAGCAAAGGGGUCCAAAGGUUGUGAGGACAUGGACACACCGUGUAUCAGAUGGUAGCUGUAGUUUUCAUAGUGUAACCAGCUAUCAAAGUGCACUUGAUUGUAUACUCUAAAGUGACAUAGUGUGUUGUGUCUGAAUUAUACCUCAAGAGAAUUCAUAUAACAGUGUAUUGUAUUCCUCCAGAAUAUAGGAAUGUUCACUAAAUAGCAGUGAAUAUUUAGCAAAUGAAAUUCAAUAGAACACACUGGAGAUUCCCAUCCUUAAUCAUUAAACAUUUAAGAACAUAUGCACUGAAGACUCCUGAAAACUCUUGCCGAGGACAUUAAAGAGCUAAAUAGGAGGUCCUGCCAUGGCCCAGUGUGUUAAGACUCUGACCGCAGUGGCCAGGUUGCUGCGGAGCUUCAGGGUCAAUGCCAGCCUGGCUGCAGUGGGUUAAAGGAUCUGGCACUGGCACAGCUGCACCUUGAAGUCAAUCCCUGGCCCACAAACAGCCCUAUGGCAUGGGUGUGGCCAUUAAAUUUAAGAAGACCUAAAUAAAUAUAUAUAAUAUACAUAUCA